CCCUUAGAUGUUCUGGGCCGCACGCGCGCUACACUGAUGCACUCAACGAGUCUCCACCUUGACCGAAAGGUCCGGGAAACCUUCGAACUUGCAUCGUGAUGGGGAUAGAUUAUUGCAACUAUUAAUCUUCAACGAGGAAUACCUAGUAGGCGCAUGUCAUCAGCGUGCGUCGAUUACGUCCCUGCCCUUUGUACACACCGCCCGUCGCUCCUACCGAUUGAAUGGUCCGGUGAAAUCUCGGGACGGCGGCUUGGUCGCUUGCGUCCGACUGCUGAAACUUGAUUAAACCAUAUCAUUUAGAGGAAGGUGAAGUCGUAACA
RNAcentral lists this ribosomal RNA (320 nucleotides) under uncultured eukaryote. RNAcentral describes it as "partial 18S ribosomal RNA". It matches the Rfam family "Eukaryotic small subunit ribosomal RNA", at positions 1470 to 1796 of the family's 1831-position model. The record is from RNAcentral.